This 292-nucleotide ribosomal RNA is filed under the name uncultured Bacteroidota bacterium. Its description in RNAcentral is "uncultured Bacteroidetes bacterium partial 16S ribosomal RNA". Lineage: Bacteria; Pseudomonadati; Bacteroidota. The record is from RNAcentral.
GGACUACUGGGGUUUCUAAUCCUGUUUGAUCCCCGCACUUUCGAGCCUCAGCGUCAGUUACAGUUUCGUUAGCUGCCUUCGCAAUCGGUGUUCUAUGACAUCUCUAUGUAUUUCACCACUACAUGUCAUAUUCCGCCAACGGCAACUGUACUCAAGCCCAACAGUAUCAAUGGCAAUUUCCUCGUUAAGCGAGGAGAUUUCACCACUGACUUAUCGGGCCGCCUACGCUCCCUUUAAACCCAAUGAAUCCGGAUAACGCUUGCAUCCUUCGUCUUACCGCGGCUGCUGGCAC